AUUGAACGCUGGCGGCAUGCCUUACACAUGCAAGUCGAACGGUAACAGGUCUUCGGAUGCUGACGAGUGGCGAACGGGUGAGUAAUACAUCGGAACGUGCCUAGUAGUGGGGGAUAACUACUCGAAAGAGUGGCUAAUACCGCAUGAGAUCUACGGAUGAAAGCAGGGGAUCGCAAGACCUUGUGCUACUAGAGCGGCCGAUGGCAGAUUAGGUAGUUGGUGGGAUAAAAGCUUACUAAGCCGACGAUCUGUAGCUGGUCUGAGAGGACGAUCAGCCACGCUGGGACUGAGACACGGCCCAGACGCGUACGGGAGGCAGCAGUGGGGAAUUUUGGACAGUGGGCGAAAGCUUGAUCCAGCAAUGCCGCGUGCAGGAUGAAGGCCUUCGGGUUGUAAACUGCUUUUGUACGGAACGAAAAGCCCCGGGUUAAUACCCUGGGGUCAUGACGGUACCGUAAGAAUAAGCACCGGCUAACUACGUGCCAGCCGCCGCGGUAA
RNAcentral lists this ribosomal RNA (498 nucleotides) under uncultured bacterium. RNAcentral describes it as "partial 16S ribosomal RNA". It matches the Rfam family "Bacterial small subunit ribosomal RNA", at positions 30 to 523 of the family's 1533-position model. The record is from RNAcentral.